Molecule: transfer RNA, 72 nt
Filed under: Acidimicrobiia bacterium
Lineage: Bacteria; Bacillati; Actinomycetota; Acidimicrobiia
Also listed under: 2 other names
Description: tRNA-Arg
Rfam family: tRNA
About the family: Transfer RNA (tRNA) molecules are approximately 80 nucleotides in length. Their secondary structure includes four short double-helical elements and three loops (D, anti-codon, and T loops).
Source: RNAcentral
GCCCCAGUAGCUCAGGGGAUAGAGCACCGGCCUCCGGAGCCGGGAGCGCAGGUUCGAAUCCUGCCUGGGGCA